Molecule: long non-coding RNA, 790 nt
Organism: Manis javanica (Malayan pangolin)
Lineage: Eukaryota; Metazoa; Chordata; Mammalia; Pholidota; Manidae
Source: RefSeq, a predicted model, not a curated record
UCUGUCUACAAAAUAUUUCCCAAAUCAAUCCACUUUCUCUCCAUUUUCACUGCCUCCAUGUUGUGGAUACUUCAGUGCCCAACCGGGACCUCCCUUUAAGAUAUUCCCAGAUGCUCAGCAGUCACCCACCUCUGUGCGCUGCCACCACGGAGGAAGGUUCAUUCACAGGCAAAUUGUGGAAUGCUUAUUAUGUGCCAAGUAUAAAGCUUUGUAUGCUUGAGGAAUACGUUAAGGAAAAAGGACAUGGUCCUUGUGUUUGUGGAACAUGAGGUCUAAAGAAAAAAGAGACUUUAGAGAAACAGGCCUCAUUCCUGUAUGACUUUCCAAGAACUACAUGCAGCCCAAACCUGGAAAGGGCAGAGAGAAAUUGGUCAGUGAAGGUUCUCAAAGCCACGGAGGGAAAACUGGAGGCUUGGAAUUCACAGCCCAUUAAAGUGACUUUGUAACUCACUCAUGAAUCAAAACCUGGAGUUUGAAAAACACCAAACUAGACAAUGAUAAUGGUCCUUCCAGAUCCUGGGCAGGGGAGGGAGCUUUUGCAUAACUAGUGGGUCUUUGUUACUGCUCUUGUUAACAAUUGUGUGUACGAAAGACCUUCACCCGCGCCGCCCUGGAUAGAGGAUCCAGUACUGCCCUCACCCUAAGCACAUGGGAAUUUUAUUUUUAAAUGUCUCUAGAAUUAGAUUGUAGAACCACAUAAAAAUAUCUCAGCAGCUGACACCAAAGAGGCACUCCUUCAUUCAUUCCUUUGUUUAAUUAUUCAAUAAAGUCUUUUCAUUUUAUUGUGAAA